This 68-nucleotide transfer RNA is filed under the name Sinotaia aeruginosa. RNAcentral describes it as "tRNA-Tyr". The record is from RNAcentral. Lineage: Eukaryota; Metazoa; Mollusca; Gastropoda; Architaenioglossa; Viviparidae.
UUGCUUAUAGCAUAGUAUAUGUAAUAAAUUGUAAAUUUAGUGACAGACACUUAAUUGUCUUAGGCGAA